UACAGAGGUCCCAAGCGUUGUUCGGAUUCACUGGGCGUAAAGGGUGCGUAGGCGGUGAGGUAAGUCGGAUGUGAAAUCUCCGAGCUCAACUCGGAAAUGGCAUUGGAAACUACCUUGCUCGAGGGUUGGAGGGGGGACUGGAAUGCUUGGUGUAGCAGUGAAAUGCGUAGAUAUCAAGCGGAACACCAGUGGCGAAGGCGAGUCCCUGGACAGCUCCUGACACUGAGGCACGAAAGCUAGGGGAGCAAACAGG
RNAcentral lists this ribosomal RNA (253 nucleotides) under uncultured bacterium. RNAcentral describes it as "partial 16S ribosomal RNA". It matches the Rfam family "Bacterial small subunit ribosomal RNA", at positions 524 to 776 of the family's 1533-position model. The record is from RNAcentral.